CCCUCCCCGGCGGCGCUUCCUGCCUGCUCAUAUAGCGCGCCCCCAGCCACGUGGACGGCGCCGGGGGCCCCGCGGCCCCUCCUCGGAUCCGGGCAGGGCGGUGCCAGGGCGGUGCCAGGGCGGCCCCCACCAGCCCAUCGCGCAGCGUGGGAGAGCUGCGCACCCGCGUAGGGCAGCUUCACGCCUGUAGGGGCAGGCUGUGUGGCGCGCCCCCUGGGGCUGCGGGCGUCCGUGAGGGAGAGGGACAGGCGGUGGGUCGCAGCCACCAAGUGGAACUGCUCCCUGAGCGCUUCGAGGUGAAAUCCCCGCUGCCACGGUGACCUCCCUAGCGGGUCACCACUCAGAAAUACCUGUGUGCUUCCCUCGGCUCCGAAACUCUCGUAUCAGGCUCAGCGUUGUGUAUCCCACAGGUAAUCGCGGCAGGGAAUGUGGAAUGGAAUUUGGUGCUUCUCGGAGGAGAAAACAUGCUUUAUACCAUUAAUAAUAAUAUAGCACAUAGUUUCUUUCAGUCCAGCAUCAAUCUCUCCCCACAGAGAUCCAUGCCUCUGGUGGAGUGUCUGCUAAAACUCUUCCACAACGUCACGCUGGCUUUUUUAGCAUCAAUGUGUAAAGACUCCAGAGAGGUGGGAUGGUUAUAGCAUCUCCCAAGAAGAAAAUGAUCUCUCUGAUCUUCACUCCAGACCCCUCCCCACAGACAACACAGCCUGGCACACAUCAGAUGGGAGAACGUAUUCCUGAGCUCUGGACAGGGUCCUUAACACCGGCCAGCUGGUACAUAACUCCCUUUGUGAAGUGGAUGAGUUUACAGGUUAUUAAUCUACUUACAGAAACUGCCCACGUUGUUGGUGUAUUACAUCCAGCUAUUCGUACUUCCACUGGAAACUGCAACGUGCUACGUAGGAGCUGUAAAGUCAUCAAUCAUCACUGAGCUGGUUUCCAUAGAGUUCUAUUAGUAAAAGUGUGAAUCCAGACCCGUGUCACAUCGUAUGCCGCGCGGUUAGGAUAUCUGCAUUCGGGUGAGCUGCUUGCCAGAGGUGGCACAGGGCCCUUGAGGAGCUCCGAUUUGAUCACCUGUGACAGUUUCUGCAACCCUCUUGACUUGAUACUGUCAUACCUUCAGGCAAAUUAGUUGAAUCUGCUGCUUCAUUUCCUUCCUGAUGAUUGUGGGUGGGUGGGUCUGUCUGUUUAUGGAAAAAAACAGCUUGCCAGCUGACUGAGCAUCAAGUUUGGAGACCUCUUCCAAAGAUUUUUGAGGUGAUGGAGGGAGAGAGAGGGUGAUGAGACCACUGAAGAAUAUCCUAUGAAAGCAAGUAUGCUUAGGGAAAGAGGAGCCAGAUAUUCUGAGACAACAUGAUUUGUCACCAUAUGGUAUAUAGAGUUUUACUACCACUAUCACAGAUUGUAUCAAGGAAAGCACCCUGCCAUCAACAGUGUCCUAAUAGCUAAGAUGACACUGGAACAGGUUUCCCAGAGAAGUUGUGGAUUCCCCCUCCCAGGAAGUGUUCAAGACCAGAUUGAAUGGAGCUUUGGACAUCCUGGUAUAGUGGAAGAUGCCCCUGCCCAUGGCAGGGCAGUUUGAACUACACCUGAUCUUUAAGGUCUCUUCCAAUCCAAACCAUUCUAUGAUUCUGUGACUGAUGAAAGUACUCUGCAGUACACAGGGGGUAAAAUACCUUAGAUUAUAUCUAUGAUGAUUUUACAGGUCUUUUCCAGCUGAAACAAUUCUAUAAUUCUGUGACAUGGUGAACUCUUUUCCAGCCACACCAGCUUUGGUUACGGGCUGCAGGGAAGAGAUGUGUAAGCAAACUCUAGAAUGUCUAAUUUUGAUCAGAAAAGCUCCUUUCUCUAAAGCAAAGCAAAACAGAAGGGUACUUGCUCAGGAGGUGGCCUCGUGGAAUCAUGACACAGCAGCAUGGCUGGAGCAUGGAAGAGUGCAGAUCACAGAGUUCCUCAGGCCUCUGCUAGUGCCUGGUUGAACCAAGAGCAGAGAACAAGAUCAAAUCCUUCUCAACCAGCAAGUGUGGAGCCUAUUUCUCUUUAUUAUAUCAGUAUUGGUUUUAAUUAACUCUUUUGGAUACUCUCAACUCCACUGAUGCACCCCAAUAUGCAUGUAGGUAGCAAGUGCUCUCUGCCAUAGUAAUUACAGCAGGGUCCAACCUGGAGGCUUGAAUUCUCUCCCCUUUAUACUGUAUAAUUUCCCUAGCAAGUGUCAUGUAGAUGUUUUUGGGAACGAAUCCAAGAGUUGUUUCACAGACGUUUCCUCAACAGUUCAGUGAAUAUGAAAUAUUUUGAAGUAACCAUGCAAAUCUCACUUGUCUUCUUAUGUAGCAAAACGAUAUCUGUUCUAAACUGUGGACCAGGGCUUUCAGCUGCUGAUGUGGAAUAGCUGUGCAAACAUCAAAGGAGCUGUAUCAGUUUUCACCAAGUGAGGAUCCAGCCCUUUAUUCACAUUUUAAAAUUCAGAAUCUGUGUCUAAGUAAAGCAUUUUUCUCUAUGUUUUUAAGUAGCCAGUAUUUUAUUUUAUGGCUGUUCCCUCAGUGGUAGGAUUGUUUCUUGUAGUCAGUGUUUAAAGGCCCUUCAAGGCUGAUGGAAUUAAAAAUGAAUAAUUUAAA
This is a long non-coding RNA of Pogoniulus pusillus (Red-fronted tinkerbird), 2612 nucleotides long. RefSeq lists it as uncharacterized. The transcript has 2 exons. The record is from RefSeq and is a predicted model, not a curated record. Lineage: Eukaryota; Metazoa; Chordata; Aves; Piciformes; Lybiidae.